RNAcentral lists this ribosomal RNA (462 nucleotides) under uncultured bacterium. RNAcentral describes it as "partial 16S ribosomal RNA". It matches the Rfam family "Bacterial small subunit ribosomal RNA", at positions 29 to 506 of the family's 1533-position model. The record is from RNAcentral.
AGUGAACGCUGGCGGCGUGCUUAAUACAUGCAAGUCGAACGAUGAAGUCCUAGCUUGCUAGGAUGGAUUAGUGGCGCACGGGUGAGUAAUAUAUAGUUAAUCUGCCUUGCACUGAGGAACAACAGUUGGAAACGAUUGCUAAUACCUCAUACUCCAACUUUACAUAAGUUAAGUUGGGAAAGUCUUUUCGGUGCAAGAUGAGACUAUAUCGUAUCAGCUAGUUGGUAAGGUAAUGGCUUACCAAGGCUAUGACGCGUAACUGGUCUGAGAGGAUGAUCAGUCACAUUGGAACUGAGACACGGUCCAAACUCCUACGGGAGGCAGCAGUAAGGAAUAUUGUGCAAUGGGGGAAACCCUGACGCAGCAACGCCGCGUGGAGGAUGACACUUUUCGGAGCGUAAACUCCUUUUGUUAGGGAAGAAUAAUGACGGUACCUAACGAAUAAACACCGGCUAACUCCGU